CACUGGAACUGAGACACGGUCCAGACUCCUACGGGAGGCAGCAGUGGGGAAUAUUGGACAAUGGGCGCAAGCCUGAUCCAGCCAUACCGCGUGGGUGAAGAAGGCCUUCGGGUUGUAAAGCCCUUUUGUUGGGAAAGAAAUCCAGCCGGCUAAUACCUGGUUGGGAUGACGGUACCCAAAGAAUAAGCACCGGCUAACUUCGUGCCAGCAGCCGCGGUAAUACGAAGGGUGCAAGCGUUACUCGGAAUUACUGGGCGUAAAGCGUGCGUAGGUGGUUGUUUAAGUCUGUUGUGAAAGCCCUCGGCCCCACCUGGGAACUGCAGUGGAAACUGGACAACUAGAGUGUGGUAGAGGGUAGCGGAAUUCCCGGUGUAGCAGUGAAAUGCGUAGAGAUCGGGAGGAACAUCCAUGGCGAAGGCAGCUACCUGGACCAACACUGACACUGAGGCACGAAAGCGUGGGGAGCAAACAGGAUUAGAUACCCUGGUAGUCCACGCCCUAAACGAUGCGAACUGGAUGUUGGGUGCAAUUUGGCACCCAGUAUCGAAGCUAACGCGCUA
This 560-nucleotide ribosomal RNA is filed under the name Stenotrophomonas maltophilia. RNAcentral describes it as "bacterial SSU rRNA". It matches the Rfam family "Bacterial small subunit ribosomal RNA", at positions 311 to 862 of the family's 1533-position model. Lineage: Bacteria; Pseudomonadati; Pseudomonadota; Gammaproteobacteria; Lysobacterales; Lysobacteraceae. The record is from RNAcentral.